GAUGAACGCUGGCGGCGUGCCUAAUACAUGCAAGUCGAGCGAACGGACGAGAAGCUUGCUUCUCUGAUGUUAGCGGCGGACGGGUGAGUAACACGUGGAUAACCUACCUAUAAGACUGGGAUAAAUUCGGGAAACCGUAGCUAAAACCGGAUAAUAUUUUGAACCGCAUGGUUCAAAAGUGAAAGACGGUCUUGCUGUCACUUAUAGAUGGAUCCGCGCUGCAUUAGCUAGUUGGUAAGGUAACAGCUUACCAAGGCAACGAUGCAUAGCCGACCUGAGAGGGUGAUCGGCCACACUGGAACUGAGACACGGUCCAGACUCCUACGGGAGGCAGCAGUAGGGAAUCUUCCGCAAUGGGCGCAAGCCUGACGGAGCCACGCCGCGUGAGUGAUGAAGGUCUUCGGAUCGUAAAACUCUGUUAUUAGGGAAGAACAUAUGUGUAAGUAACUGUGCACAUAUUGACGGUACCUAAUCAGAAAGCCACGGCUAACUACGUG
This 497-nucleotide ribosomal RNA is filed under the name uncultured bacterium. RNAcentral describes it as "partial 16S ribosomal RNA". It matches the Rfam family "Bacterial small subunit ribosomal RNA", at positions 28 to 507 of the family's 1533-position model. The record is from RNAcentral.